UACGAAGGGGGCUAGCGUUGUUCGGAUUUACUGGGCGUAAAGCGUACGUAGGCGGACCGUUAAGUCGGAGGUGAAAUCCUGGGGCUCAACCCCAGAACUGCCUUCGAUACUGGCGGUCUCGAGUCCGGGAGAGGUGAGUGGAACUGCCAGUGUAGAGGUGAAAUUCGUAGAUAUUGGCAAGAACACCAGUGGCGAAGGCGGCUCACUGGCCCGGUACUGACGCUGAGGUACGAAAGCGUGGGGAGCAAACAGG
RNAcentral lists this ribosomal RNA (253 nucleotides) under uncultured bacterium. Its description in RNAcentral is "partial 16S ribosomal RNA". It matches the Rfam family "Bacterial small subunit ribosomal RNA", at positions 524 to 776 of the family's 1533-position model. The record is from RNAcentral.